GUCAGAGGUCAGAGGCUGUACAGUAACACGCUAUACAUGAGGUCAGAGGCUGUACAGUAACACGCUAUACAUGAGGUCAGAGGUCAGAGGCUGUACAGUAACACGCUAUACAUGAGGUCAGAGGUCAGAGGCUGUACAGUAACAUGCUAUACAUGAGGUCAGAGACUGUACAGUAACAUGCUAUACAUGAGGUCAGAGGCUGUACAGUAACACGCUAUACAUGAGGUCAGAGGUCAGAGGCUGUACAGUAACAUGCUAUACAUGAGGUCAGAGGCUGUACAGUAACAUGCUAUACAUGAGGUCAGAGGUCAGAGGCUGUACAGUAACACGCUAUACAUGAGGUCAGAGGUCAGAGGCUGUACAGUAACAUGCUAUACAUGAGGUCAGAGGCUGUACAGUAACAUGCUAUACAUGAGGUCAGAGGUCAGAGGCUGUACAGUAACAUGCUAUACAUGAG
This 457-nucleotide long non-coding RNA is filed under the name Salmo salar (Atlantic salmon). RNAcentral describes it as "lncRNA (ENSSSAG00000109773.1)". Lineage: Eukaryota; Metazoa; Chordata; Actinopteri; Salmoniformes; Salmonidae. The record is from RNAcentral.